RNAcentral lists this ribosomal RNA (303 nucleotides) under uncultured bacterium. RNAcentral's name for it is "bacterial SSU rRNA". It matches the Rfam family "Bacterial small subunit ribosomal RNA", at positions 29 to 334 of the family's 1533-position model. The record is from RNAcentral.
AACGAACGCUGGCGGCGUGCCUAAUACAUGCAAGUCGUACGAGAAAGCCCUUCGGGGUGAGUAGAGUGGCGCACGGGAGAGUAAUGCAUGGGAACGUACCUUUAGGAGGGGGAUAACCACGGGAAACUGUGGCUAAUACCGCGUGUGGUAGCAAUACUAAAGAUGGCCUCUACUUGUAAGCUAUCGCCUAAAGAUCGGCCCAUGUCCCAUUAGAUUGAUGGUGAGGUAAUGGCUCACCAUGUCGACGAUGGGUAGCUGGUCUGAGAGGAUGAUCAGCCUCACUGGGACUGAGACACGGCCCAG